This 497-nucleotide ribosomal RNA is filed under the name uncultured bacterium. RNAcentral's name for it is "partial 16S ribosomal RNA". It matches the Rfam family "Bacterial small subunit ribosomal RNA", at positions 28 to 507 of the family's 1533-position model. The record is from RNAcentral.
GAUGAACGCUGGCGGCGUGCCUAAUACAUGCAAGUCGAGCGAACAGACGAGGAGCUUGCUCCUCUGACGUUAGCGGCGGACGGGUGAGUAACACGUGGAUAACCUACCUAUAAGACUGGGAUAACUUCGGGAAACCGGAGCUAAUACCGGAUAAUAUAUUGAACCGCAUGGUUCAAUAGUGAAAGACGGUUUUGCUGUCACUUAUAGAUGGAUCCGCGCCGCAUUAGCUAGUUGGUAAGGUAACGGCUUACCAAGGCAACGAUGCGUAGCCGACCUGAGAGGGUGAUCGGCCGCACUGGAACUGAGACACGGUCCAGACUCCUACGGGAGGCAGCAGUAGGGAAUCUUCCGCAAUGGGCGAAAGCCUGACGGAGCAACGCCGCGUGAGUGAUGAAGGUCUUCGGAUCGUAAAACUCUGUUAUUAGGGAAGGACAAAUGUGUAAGUAACUAUGCACGUCUUGACGGUACCUAAUCAGAAAGCCACGGCUAACUACGUG